CAAUUAAACUACGUUAAAAUAUUAAAGAAAAGGAGGAAAAGUUGGAGCUGACUUCAAAAAGGUUACGUUCAUUAAAUGUCUUGUCGCACAAGAAAUAAGGGCGCCCUUGAGAUGCGUUUUUGCGCACUUCGCUGGUGGCGGGCAACACAAAGCCAAUUAAUGACGUGAGAAGGGGCCAUUUUAAGCUCAAAUACAAUGGACACACAAGCGUAAGCAAAACACAGCCACGGAAGAAAUACAAUUCAAGGUUUUGGCGUUACACAACGUUCAAAGGAGCCGCGGGUUCUGGCGGCAAGCGUUUGAGUCUGGGCGCUUGUACAAAACGAUGUUUUUGUACGAGGUGCUAAGGGGUCCAUUUCCGGUUCGCAUUUGUUACAUCUUCCCGUAAUGUUUCUGUAAAUCUUUUCUCUAAGCAUACGCAGUGUCACUUAAUUAGCGAGAUUUGUAGUUGAUAAAUGAGUCAGACAUCCCAUCCUUGUUUUCAUUCAUUCAUUUUUUUUCCGGUAUUUUGUUUCUACCAAACACGCUAUCAGAGUAAAUCGAAAAUCAACGCCAUAACGAUACAUAUAUAAGCUUACCAAUAGUUUCGCUCAGGACACAAGCAUUCAAAAUGUUGAUAGCCAGCGACGAGUCUUAAAAGAGCGGAUUGAUUCUUAACAGCAAAACGCCAAAGAUAUUGACAGAGUAAUCUAGAGUAGCUAAGAAGUUUCCUUGUCAUUUUGAUUUAGUAAUGAUGUCCUUUACGCAACCAAAGAGCUGACAGAAGCAGAUAACUUCUAGAGGGCUUCUAGGCGGAUCAUGCUUGAGCGGGUAACGUAUGUCACCAUCGUUUGCCUACUGAUUUGUUCUUCGCUGGCUCUACCGUCCAAGCAAGCUGUUAAGAAAGCCGAUUUUCACCGAACGUCCGUUAAACCAAACCAACAAGUGGCCAAGUCUACAAGCGUGCAAAAAAUGAACAUUCUCCAAGUUCCAACCAACACAAGAGUCGUUAGACUCUACAACAAGAAUGGAUUCUUUCUCAAGAUCUCCACGGCGGGAAAACUUAGAGGCACCACGAGCUUUCACAACCCAGACAUUCUAAUAGAGAUGGAAU
Molecule: long non-coding RNA, 1093 nt
Filed under: Orbicella faveolata
Lineage: Eukaryota; Metazoa; Cnidaria; Anthozoa; Scleractinia; Merulinidae
Description: uncharacterized LOC110051455, transcript variant X2
Source: RNAcentral